GGAAGGGACAGCGAAAUCGUGGCAAGACGGACAUAGUCCGAUAGUAAGGUGUAUUGGACUGACGAGCCGGCAAAUGAAAGUAAUGUCCUAAAGGCGACCGUAACUCGGAUGCGUAAAUCAGACAGGCAAACGAGGAAAGCUU
Molecule: non-coding RNA, 142 nt
Filed under: bovine gut metagenome
Source: RNAcentral